AGUUGAGGCGUCCUUUUGCUUCAGAUGCGGUAUUAAUGUCCGCCCAUCUGCGGUCGAAAUUGUUUUACCCUUUUUCAUUAACCCUUUGUAACUUCACUUGAACUGAACUAUGUAACAUUGACUGCGGCUGUUCUUGUUGGCUUCGGUCACGAGCAGUAUUCCAAACGCGGGCUUGUUAUCACAUAUUACGAAACGCACGAACAACUCUUAACAACGGAUAUCUUGGUUCUCGUAACGAUGAAGAACGCAGCAAAAUGCGAUACGUAAUGCGAAUUGCAGAAUUCAGUGAAUCAUCAAAUCUUUGAACGCAAAUUGCGCUCUCGGGAUAGGCCUGAGAGCACGCCUCUUUGAGCAUCGAUUCUACCACAAGUCGACGACGUCCUUGCAAAAGGAUGUGCAGUCGGACAUUGAGCCUUGCCGGCCGUUCGCGGCUAAGCUGGCUUCAAAUAGAGCGAGAUACACAGCGAUCCUUCUGACACAUCAGGAGUGAUUUGUGACGUGGAUAACUUCACUACUCGUGAACCUUCCAAUACGUGACAGUCUCUCAUUCAACUGGUGUGCCAGUGGGAAGCAACGCGUGUCGGACCGUCAUUCGUGACAACUCUUUUGAAUUAGAUCUCAAAUGAAGCGAGAAAACCCGCUAAACUUAAGCAUAUCAAUAAGC
Molecule: ribosomal RNA, 664 nt
Filed under: uncultured fungus
Lineage: Eukaryota; Fungi
Description: eukaryotic LSU rRNA
Rfam family: 5.8S ribosomal RNA (bases 203-357)
Source: RNAcentral